RNAcentral lists this transfer RNA (73 nucleotides) under Bythites fuscus (Arctic brotula). Its description in RNAcentral is "tRNA-Trp". It matches the Rfam family "tRNA". From Rfam's summary of the family: Transfer RNA (tRNA) molecules are approximately 80 nucleotides in length. Their secondary structure includes four short double-helical elements and three loops (D, anti-codon, and T loops). The record is from RNAcentral. Lineage: Eukaryota; Metazoa; Chordata; Actinopteri; Ophidiiformes; Bythitidae.
AGGAACUUAGGAUAACGUCUAAGACCACGGGCCUUCAAAGCCUUAAGCGGGAGUGAAAACCUCCCAGUCCCUG